This 386-nucleotide ribosomal RNA is filed under the name uncultured bacterium. Its description in RNAcentral is "bacterial SSU rRNA". It matches the Rfam family "Bacterial small subunit ribosomal RNA", at positions 28 to 415 of the family's 1533-position model. The record is from RNAcentral.
GACGAACGCUGGCGGCGUGCUUAACACAUGCAAGUCGAGCGGUAAGGCCCUUUCGGGGGUACACGAGCGGCGAACGGGUGAGUAACACGUGGGUGACCUGCCCUCAGCUCUGGGAUAAGCCUGGGAAACCGGGUCUAAUACUGGAUAUGACUCCAUGACGCAUGUUGUGGGGUGGAAAGCCUUGUGCGGCUGAGGAUGGGCCCGCGGCCUAUCAGCUUGUUGGUGGGGNGAUGGCCUACCAAGGCGACGACGGGUAGCCGGCCUGAGAGGGCGACCGGCCACACUGGGACUGAGACACGGCCCAGACUCCUACGGGAGGCAGCAGUGGGGAAUCUUGCGCAAUGGGCGAAAGCCUGACGCAGCGACGCCGCGUGAGGGAUGACGCC